CCUACGGGCGGCAGCAGUGGGGAAUAUUGCACAAUGGGGGAAACCCUGAUGCAGCGACGCCGCGUGAGUGAAGAAGUAUCUCGGUACGUAAAGCUCUAUCAGCAGGGCAGAUAAUGACGGUACCUGACCAAGAAGCACCGUCUAACUACGUGCCAGCAGCCGCGGUUAUACGUAGGGGGCCAGCGUUAUCCGGAUUUUGUGGGUGUAAAGGGGGCGUAGACGGCAGAAAAAGUCUGGAGUGAAAUUCCGGGGCUUAAACCCUGAAAUUCUUUGGAAACUGUGCGGCUGGAGUGCAGGAGGGGUAAGCGGAAUUCCUAGUGUAGCGGUGAAAUGCGUAGAUAUUAGGAGGAACACCGGUGGCGAAGGCGGCUUACUGGACUGUAACUGACGUUGAGGCUCGAAAGCGUGGGGAGCAAACAGGAUUAGAUACCCCAGUAGUC
This 440-nucleotide ribosomal RNA is filed under the name uncultured bacterium. RNAcentral describes it as "partial 16S ribosomal RNA". It matches the Rfam family "Bacterial small subunit ribosomal RNA", at positions 338 to 795 of the family's 1533-position model. The record is from RNAcentral.